Molecule: long non-coding RNA, 4782 nt
Organism: Bactrocera neohumeralis
Lineage: Eukaryota; Metazoa; Arthropoda; Insecta; Diptera; Tephritidae
Exons: 4
Source: RefSeq, a predicted model, not a curated record
AAUGGAUUACGCGUCUAAUUCUUGUGCUUUUCGUAAAAUUUUUGAUUCAAAGCAGAGCUUCUGGCCUUUCUGUUGCAGGAGGACGGAUAUGCAUACGCAUCCAGUCGUUGUUGUGUGGCAAGAGCACGAGCGUGCAUUUUGCCGGUUGCCGGUUUUGUUUUCCUUGGCCAGAAUAAUUGGUUGGUUGGACGCGUUAAGCUAUCGACUGACGCGUGGCGCAGCUGAAAAUGAGUGUCGUGAGUCCUUUAAACGGCUUUUCUAUGCUUACUCGGUAGCACACAAAUAUCCUGCCAGUGACUAAAGCUGUGUGUUGGCAAAAUUCGGAUUUCUUUGGCGCCGCGAUCUGAAGGUGCCGUUGGAAAGAGGAAGUCUUCCUGAUUAAAAAAUACAUAUACCAGAUCAUAGGUACCGCAAAUGUUCUUAUUCGACUUAAAGUUAAAAAAUUCCAAAAGUCCAACAUUUCACUACAUCUAACAUACUUUAUUCAAAUUUUUCACUACAAAUUCAUUAAUUAGCAAAGGAGUUUAAGCGGGAUAUUCAACUAAUAAAAUAAAUUACCAAGCUUCACAUCAUGCCGUUCAAAUUCACAAAAUUUUUUUUCUAUGCUAGUCAAAUGCUCCUUAUCUUUUUUAUAUUUCUUUCAAGUGGGAAAGCAAAUUUUUAAAAUACUGCAUUCAUUGGUAAAUCGAAUAUGUAUGUAUGUACAUCAGAUUAAGCAUUGAAUAAAACUCACUGAUGAAAACUUUUUUCAUUUAAUGUGUUCAUAAGUAUUUUUAUUUUUAAUUAUAAUUAUAAUUAAUAAAAAUAAGGAUAUAAAAUUUUUUAUAUAACAUACAUACAUACUUAGAAGAUUUACUUGUUUAUGACUCCAUAUCACUUCUCACUUUUACACUUUACUCAAAAACUUCACUUUUUAUUUUCACUAUACGAGCACUGAUUCUGUGAGAACAUAGCGCCUAAUUAUAUACACACCCCUUCAUUGCUCUAAAAGUAGCUAACGGUUCCUGAGUCUCUUCACUCUGUUCGCAGAAUACGAUCAGACCUCACUCAGUAACCAAGAAUGAUAGAAUACAAGAUUACGACACUAGUUUACAGUUAGUUUUUUUCGGUUUAACUCUUGACAAUUCUUACAAAAACAAAUACAUUGUUCAACAAUUUCGUGACGUAACAGUUUUGCGUUGAGAAGAACAAGCAUAGAAAUGCAUACAAAUUGAAAAAUUUCAGUGGAAUGUUUAGAAUAUUGUUGCGAGAAAAUAUGUAUGUAUAUAAUUAGUUUUAGGCACAUCCACAAUAAAUAGAGUAGCAUGAGUGGAAAUUGUUCAAAUGAAGAAAACCAGUGUAAGUGUACUGUUGUAUUUAUUUAAAUUUCUAAGCAUAAAUAUAUUAAUUUUUUAAAAUGAAAUGUGCAGUGGCUUGUUGUAAUAAUUAUUAUACAAUUAAAGGAUCGAAAAGGAGUUUUUUCUGUUUUCCGGCCGAUUUAAAAGUUGCCAAAAAAUGGGUGUUAUUUUGCAAAAGAAAUGAUAUAUUUAAUAUUAAAUUAAUAAUUUCACAAUUCUUUUAUCAUAAUUUCAUACAUCUGAUACAUCUGAACUUAUAAUAUAUGUAUAUAUUUAUAUACAACACAAGAAACGUCUUCUCCAUUUGAAUCACAACUUAAUAGACAAUUUUAUUAUCAAUAGGCCGAUAUAUUUCUUUAGAAAUGAUUCAAAUCUUUUCACUCAACAAUAUUCAAUCGCUUCACUAAAACUUUUCAUUAAAAUAGAAAGAAUUAAUAAUAUUUUGCGAAUUUACAAAAGUGUUUAUUUUUCUGUUUACAAUUUGCAAGCCAUUUGACAGUUUUUCACUCUUGUUCUUCUCAACACGGAACUAUGACGUUUCGUAAUGGCGGUCGUCGUAAUCUUGUAUUCUAUCAUUCUUGCUCAGUAACAGUCCUGUCUAUAGUCCUGUUACUAUGUAUGCUUAUUUGCGCAUUUACAUUCUAUAGUACCGUAAUAUAUGCCGCCAAUGCGUAGCCUACUCCAAACGACGCUGUGCCACAUACAGUUACCUACAAAAUAUUAGCACUCUGACAUACGCAUGUACACUGACAUACAAAAUACAAGUACUACCGCUCCGACAUAUACAUUUAUAAAAAUACUAUAUAUUGAAUUCAAAUUGAUAUUACUUUUGUUUCAUCUAAAUUUGAGAAAGUUUUUAAAAUAGGAUAGGAUAGGAAAAUAGAAUGAAAAUAUUUUUUAUUUACAAAAUAACUUAAAUUAUGGAUUUACUUAUAUACAUACUUGUAAAAGAGAAAGUGACUACAAAGACGAGUUAUGCAAUAUUGUCCUAUUAUUAUUCCAUUUAACCUCUCCAUGAGGAGUCUUGAAAUACUACAUAAAACUUUCUUUCGUCGUUUUACUAUGACAAAUGGUAUUUCAUCACGUUCAUGUGGAAUUGGCUUUGAAUACGAAAAAUUUAAGAGCCCUUGAAAGAGCACAUCUGAAUAUGUUAAAAUAAAAAGAUAUUUUAAUUUAUUUAAAUUUUAUCAUUUUGCAAUAGUUUUACUUUGCAAAAACCUCCAUGAGAUUCACGAACAUAAGCUCCAAAUUCUACAAACAAAAGUUUAUGGACGGCAUCAUCAGAUCAUAGUCAUCAGAACAUUGGUAUUGUUUUUCCUGUAGUUGAAAUAGUUAGAACCGCAGUUUGCAGGCACCUGAAUCACUAUGUGUUGGUAUGCAAUUAGAGAAAUUCCAUUACUGGUAAAAACAUUCCGACUCGUUAUCCAUUCUUCGAAACCUUACCAAAAUACAGUUUAUAUCACUGAUGCACGAAUAGACCUGAAUACUCACUUUUAAGGCCAAGUUCCUCUAAAAAAUGUAUUUUUUUUCAAUACAUUUUAUUUUUAUUACAAAACAAGUUGAGUAAUCAAUUUUUUUUACAUAUGAAAGUACAUAUGUAUAUGAGUAUUAAAUUACUUGAAAAAGAUGUUUUUUUUUAAUUUUUUUUCAAAAUGGCGGUCCUGAAAAUGGCAGCUGAAAUUCAUCCGAUUCGUAAAGAGUAAAAUGCCGUUUGGUUCAUAUCGAUAAGUGCAAUAGUUUUGAAAUGAAAGUGUCAUACAUGCAAAAAAACGUAGUUCGGAGAAAAAUCAGUUUAAACCAAAGGCACGCAGUAUCUGCUGCUACCGAAGGCGUUCGAGCGGCCGGUUUUCCCGCAGCUCUCCUCACUCUUUUAUACCAGUCUUGCUGACCUUCGGGACUAAUUCUAUACUAUUUCAACGAGUAUACAGUAGCAAUUUAUGAAAAAACAAAUUUCGAUUUUUUCAAAAUUGUUUGGAGGAACCUGGCUUUAAAAACUCAUUAUUUAAGGCUUCAAAAAUUGCAUCUUACGUCUUAUGCACUAUAUGACAAAUAGUAGAUUUUCCCAACAGAAAAAUACUCAUUUAGCUCGAGAAGUUAUCGCCUGUGGGAAAAUAGCGUAGUGUUGCCGCCAGUUUUUCACCGGCCGAGAUCGCUUCACGGAAUCUUGUAUUUCUUUUAUAAAUAUUAAAUAGUCGAAAAAGUAUUUUUGGAUUUUGUCAAUAGAUGUCGUUGGAGUCGCAUAUCUCCGAUGCUAUAUCAGUUCGUGUAGCAAAACAGUAGUUCGCUCGCGUUCUGGAAAUUUCGAAGUGAAAGAUGCACCUCGCUUUGGUCGAUCUAUCGUUGAUAAAGUCGAUGAAAUUAUGGAAAAGAUUGACCAGAACCAAUGGUUUUGAACCAUUCAAAACAGGCUGCCUGCAAAAAAAUGUUCGAUGUUUGGGUACCAAAUGAACUGUCUGUGAAAAAUGUAAGGCUCGAAUUAACAUCUGCGAUUCUUUGCUGAAACGAAAUGAAUUCGAACAAUUUCUGAAGCGAAUGGUAGCUGGAGACAAAAAGUGGAUCAAAUUCGACAAUAAGACAUCAAAUACGAGAAAUGCAAAUGCAGAACUCCCUUAAUGGAGUAAAAUUGUCUUCAAAAGAGGCAAUUACUCGUCGCAGUUUUUCGCCGAGAAACCAGAAAAGUUUUACACUGAUGCAAUAAUGUAUCUAGGCGGAAAAAUGGCAAAAAGAGGUCGACCAAAAUGGAGCAUAUUUUGUUCAUUAAAAUUCGUUAUAUUAAAAAAAAUAAGUUAAAGUUUGAUCAGAAAUACGAAAAUACUUUUUCGACUACCCUAUAUAUGGGAUGAGCCCAACUAAAAAGUCGAAGACUUCCAGAGUCAUCCUCAGGAAGUUUUCCAACCACUUUGGGUCCUGAUAAACCAGCUUAAGUCUAAGUGUGGUGUAAAAUCCACAGUUAAAACGAUUCUUUAAGCCUGGUCUCAUCCUUCACUUCUUUGGCUUUCUUUGAUUAGUCCUUCUUUUUAAUGCUUAUAAUUUCGUUAUAAGGCGUAUGUAGCGCCGCAGUUGCAAUCGCAAAUUUUCUAUAUUUAUACACUUUUUCAUUUUUUACGCACUUUUUUAAAAGGAAUUAUAUUUUUUUAUUACAUAUGUAUUUCUUUAUAACAGCUGGUUAAAUUGUCUGUUCACAAUUGCCAUCUAUAGGGAAAACGGGUUGUCAAUCAAAACUUAACGACAGGUUUAGAACUGAUGUUGUAAUGAAAACGCAUUUGACACGAGAUGAACAGCUGUUCGUUGAGACAGUUUUGGAAGUCAACUAUUUUUCCCUAAAGAUAACUAAGCAUUACUAUUUUUUCGCACAGUAAUAUAGUAUGUCCAUAUUUCGUUAAAAAUAUUCGAUAAAACUGAAAUAAAUAUUUACAGAUAAUAAUAAUGACGUCAGACUGAUAUU